UGUAGACCUAGGAUGAACUCUGUUGCUAUUAUAUAUAUCAAGAAGAAAAAGGAGGAAAAAAGAGAUUAAAUUGAUGUUGGAUCGUUGGUGGGCUUGGUCCUACUAAUAAAUCCUCAUUAUGGAUAUGUGUGCAAAGAAUCACAGUAGCCAUCCAAUCUUAAAUAUGUGCGUGCACACACAUAAAAGAGAUGGAUAGAUAUAGAAAGAG
RNAcentral lists this long non-coding RNA (208 nucleotides) under Elaeis guineensis (African oil palm). Its description in RNAcentral is "long non-coding RNA (EGUI_LNC013330)". The record is from RNAcentral. Lineage: Eukaryota; Viridiplantae; Streptophyta; Magnoliopsida; Arecales; Arecaceae.